UAGAGUUUGAUCCUGGCUCAGAACUAACGCUGGCGGCGUGCCUAACACAUGCAAGUCGUACGAGAAAGUUGGCUUCGGCUGAUGAGUAAAGUGGCGCACGGGUGAGUAACGCGUGGAUAAUCUACCCCUCAGUUGGGAAUAACUCAUCGAAAGGUGGGCUAAUACCGAAUAAUACUGCAUGACUACUGUUGUGUAGUCAAAGAUGGCCUCUGCUUGCAAGCUAUCGCUGAAGGAUGAGUCCGCGUACCAUUAGCUAGUUGGUAGGGUAAUGGCCUACCAAGGCAACGAUGGUUAGCUGGUCUGAGAGGAUGAUCAGCCACACUGGAACUGAGACACGGUCCAGACUCCUACGGGAGGCAGCAGUGAGGAAUAUUGCGCAAUGGGGGCAACCCUGACGCAGCAACGCCGCGUGAGUGAGGAAGGUUUUCGGACCGUAAAGCUCUGUCGAGCGGGAAGAAGUGCGUAAUGGCUAAUAUCCAUUAUGCUUGACGGUACCGCUAAAGGAAGCACCGGCUAACUCCGUGCCAGCAGCCGCGGUAAUACGGGGGGUGCGAGCGUUGUUCGGAAUCAUUGGGCGUAAAGAGCGUGUAGGCGGCUGGAUAAGUCAGAUGUGAAAGCCCUGGGCUUAACCUAGGAAGCGCAUUUGAAACUGUUCAGCUUGAGUAAGGGAGAGGAAAGUGGAAUUCCUGGUGUAGAGGUGAAAUUCGUAGAUAUCAGGAGGAACACCGGUGGCGAAGGCGACUUUCUGGCCCUAUACUGACGCUGAGACGCGAGAGCGUGGGUAGCAAACAGGAUUAGAUACCCUGGUAGUCCACGCUGUAAACGAUG
RNAcentral lists this ribosomal RNA (828 nucleotides) under uncultured Smithella sp. RNAcentral's name for it is "bacterial SSU rRNA". It matches the Rfam family "Bacterial small subunit ribosomal RNA", at positions 1 to 811 of the family's 1533-position model. Lineage: Bacteria; Pseudomonadati; Thermodesulfobacteriota; Syntrophia; Syntrophales; Smithellaceae. The record is from RNAcentral.